This 3023-nucleotide long non-coding RNA is filed under the name Homo sapiens (human). RNAcentral describes it as "non-protein coding lnc-APBA2-1:8". The record is from RNAcentral. Lineage: Eukaryota; Metazoa; Chordata; Mammalia; Primates; Hominidae.
AUGGAAGAUCUUCCAGAACAAGAAAAAAAUAUAAAUGUUGUAGAUGAAUUAGAAAUACAAUUUUAUGAAAUUCAGUUAGAACUAUAUGAAGUUAAAUUUGAGAUAUUAAAAAACAAAGAAAUACUGCUUACUACACAGUUGGACUCUCUUGAAAGACUUAUAAAAGAAAAACAGGAUGAAGUUGUCUAUUACGAUCCAUGUGAAAGUCCAGAGGAACUUAGUCAUUGACUGUGGUGGGGCUGCAGGACGAUAAGAAUUCGGAAGUGAAAGAACUCAGAAGGCAGUGCCAGCAGCUGGAGUCUAUUAAACGGGGCAGGAUCUGUGUCAAAAGAGCUUCUCUCCAGAGUAGAAAGGAUCAGUGCAAAGAAAAUCAUUGGCUCAGAUUGCAACAGGCUGAAGAAAGCAUAAGAUAUUCUCGUCAGCAUCACAGUAUUCAGAUGAAAAGAGACAAGAUAAAAAGGAGCAAAAGAAAAAAGAAUGGGUCAACCAAGAACGUCAAACACUCCAACGAUUGAGAGCAUUUAAAGAUGUAAGUUCUAUAAACAAUCACCUCAUCUACACUUCUGGGGAAAUAAAUGAAGACCGCUCUAAAGAGGAAAGUAUUAAGAACAGGUCAUUCAGAACAUGAAACAUUUAAAAAAUAACAUUAUUUCUGGUAUAUCAAUAAAAAGCAACAACAAAAAUAGAAUAUCAGUGAUUCAAAACCCAUGAUAUAAAAUAACUGCUGUUUUUAACAUCACAACACGCUUGGGUUCCUGCUCUGCACUCUUCACUGAGUAGUCCUUACUGGCACUGGUGGUUUAGAUUGGCAGGGAAAACUGAAAACUGUUCAACUCCCUUGACUUUAGCUGGCAUUUCCUCUCAUUUGUAAUAAACAAUUCUUUAAAAUGUUAUCCAGGCAGCAUUGUGAUAUAAGUGUAGUGAAAGUGCCCAGUUAAAAGUAAAAUGUGUUGUUGUUUUUUUUUGAUAUCUACAACUUUCUUUUUUCUUUUUUUUUAAAGUAUAUACUUAAGAGGAUGAUGUUAUUUUUUUAUGCCCUCUGUUCCAGGCCUACAUUUGUAUUUCCUCCACAAAAUGAUCCUCAGUCUGUAAUUUUUGUUCUAUUUGACUUUAUUAUUAGAGAUAAAUUCCUUUAAUUAAAAAAAAGCUACUAUGAAGGUUGAAAAAAUAAUUUUUUGGUUUUAUUUUUAAUUGACACAUAAUUGUACAUAUUUAUGAGGUAUAGUGUGAUAUUUUGAGGUAUAUAAUAUGGAAUGAUCAAAUCAGGGUAAUUAGCGUAUCUAUCACCUCAAACAUUUAUCUACAGGUAAAUAGGUUUUUUAAAAUAAAGUAAAUAGGGAGUCUGGCACAGUGGCUCAUGCCUAUAAUCCCAGCACUUUGGGAGGCUGAGGCGGGCGGAUUGCUUGAGACCAUGAAUUUGAGACCAGGCUGGGCAACAUGGUGAAACCCCAGCUCUCCUAAAAAUACAAAAAUUAGCUGGACAUGGUGGUGCAUGCCUGUAGUCCCAGCUACUUGGGAGGAAAAAUACCAAUUGUGCACAUAUUUUUGUAAAAUUAUACAUAAACACUUUAUUUUUUAUGUCAUUCUAAAUAAUUUUUUGUAUGUUUCUAUUUCCAAACGUUGUUUGGUAAUAUAUAGAAAUAUGAUUGAUUUUGUUUAUUGAGUUUGCAUAUAACCACAUUACUAAACUCGCAUAUUGAGCAUUUUAAUAGGUUAUUUUGAAUACUUUUACAUAGACUGUUGUCUGAAAAUAGAAACAGGUUUAUUUCUUCCUUUCUGAUGUGGAUGUCACUGAUUUUUUUCCCUACAUUACUGAUCUGGCUAGGACUAUCAGUAUAAAGUUGAAUAUAAGUGGUAAAAGAUCUGACUUCUUGCCUUGGACCCAGUUUUUAAAUCAGUUGGAGAGUCACCAUUAAGUGUAAUUUAGUGGUAGUUUUGUUUGUUUUUUUUUUGUUUGUUUUGUAGAUGCCCUCUAUCAGGAUAAGUUCCCUUUUCUCAUUUUGCUGAGAGUUUUUAUAAAGAAUAGCUAUUGAAUUUUGUCAAAUGCUUUUGCUGCAUCUGCUGAAAUGACACGUUUAUUCUUCAUCUACCUAAUAAUGUUGCAAUUUAUAUCUGUUGAGCUUUGAAUGUUGAACCAGCCUUGCAUUCAUGGUAUAAAUCACUUGUUUGUAAAGUAUUGUUUUUAAAUAUUGCUAGAUUUGAUAUCUUAGUAUUGUAUUUUUAUAUUUGUCUUCAUGUGUUUUUGUUUUCUCAUAAGUGUCUGUACCCCCCUUUUUUUUUCUUUAAAGAGAAAUAAUGAGAGAGAUUGUCUCUCUUGAAGUUCUCAGUGCCUGUGCAUUGCUGCCACUACACAGCUAGUAUCAUGACAGCAGCUUCAGAACCAGAGCUGGCUUCCAGGCAAGGCUGGGUGGGGAAGAAAGAGAAAAACAAAAGAAUUAUUUCUCUAUGCCGAGACCAGCUCGGUCAGGGAGACCCUAACCUAGCGGUGCUAGAGGAAUUAAAGACAUAGACACAGAAAUAUAGAGGUGUGAAGUGGGAAAUCAGGGGUCUCACAGCCUUCAGAGCUCAGCCACAAACAGAGAUUUACCCACGUAUUUAUUAACAGCAAGCCAGUCAUUAGCAUUGUUUCUAUAGAUAUUAAAUUAACUAAAAGUAUCCCUUAUGGGAAACGAAGGGAUGGGCCGAAUUAAAGGAAUAGGUUGGGCUAGUUAACUGCAGCAGGAGCAUGUCCUUAAGGCACAGAUCACUCAUGCUAUUGUUUGUGGUUUAAGAAUGCCUUUAAGCGGUUUUCCACCCCGGGCAGGCCAGGUGUUCUUUGCCCUCAUUCCAGUAAACCCACAACCUUCCAGUAUGGGUGUUAGGGCCAUUAUGAACAUGUUACAGUGCUGCAGAGAUUUUAUUUAUGGCCAGUUUAUGGCCAGAUUUUGGGGGGCCUGCUCCCAACACUCUACAUAUGCUCCAUCUUGCAGAGGCUUCAUUCUUGGUUCUCUAGCUAAAAACAGUAGAAAUUUUGCACACCUGGG